GGGUAUAGCUCAGUGGUAGAGCGCUUGCCUAGCAAGUGAGAGGCACUGGGUUCAAUCCUCAGCACCCA
Molecule: transfer RNA, 68 nt
Filed under: Marmota monax (woodchuck)
Lineage: Eukaryota; Metazoa; Chordata; Mammalia; Rodentia; Sciuridae
Description: tRNA.Ala
Rfam family: tRNA
About the family: Transfer RNA (tRNA) molecules are approximately 80 nucleotides in length. Their secondary structure includes four short double-helical elements and three loops (D, anti-codon, and T loops).
Source: RNAcentral